Molecule: long non-coding RNA, 1207 nt
Filed under: Zonotrichia albicollis (white-throated sparrow)
Lineage: Eukaryota; Metazoa; Chordata; Aves; Passeriformes; Passerellidae
Description: lncRNA (ENSZALG00000003041.1)
Source: RNAcentral
AGAAGAAGAAGAAGAAAUCGUGGAUGUCCCUGCUGCCCACCGGGCCCCUCGCAGUCACCUGCAGAGGAAUGCAGGGAUACGGAGCCCUCGCUCGCAGGAAUGCAGGGAUACGGAGCCCACGCAGGAAUUUCGGGAAUUUCGGGAUCCGGAGCUUCGCCCGUUAAACGCGGAGCCCCAUCGGGGAACCGUCUCUUCCCACACUUGCCGAGCGCGUCUCCCGCGGGAAUAAAAACCGGGAUUCUCGGAUGGAAGCGGCGCUGCCUCCUCGCCGCUGGCCGGGCAGGAGCGGGGCAGAGUUUAAAUCCUCAUCCCGGCGGAUUUGAUCCCAAAAUUUCCCCCCCUUCGGGCGUUGCUAAGUGACGGAUUGCCGGGAGCGGGGGGGAAGGAGCAUCCUUGGGAAGAGCCGGGAAUGAUGCAGCGAUGGAUGGAGGGAGGGAGGGAUGCGGGGAUGGAUCGGAGCCCCCUCCCCAAAGGGGCUCUAGGAGCGGCAGGAGGGGGAGGGGGCCGCAGGUCCCUCCCAGCGGAGCCGCAGGGGUGACAUCAGAGCCGGGAUAAUCCGGGAGCGCCGGGAAGGAGCUUGGGAAGGAGCCGGGAAGUGGGAGAGGAGGGAGCGAGGGGAGGGAUGGGAGCGGAUGGGAGGGAUGGGGAGAUGGAAAAGGUUUGGGAAUAAUGGGGAGGGAUGGGAACAAUGGGAGGGAUGGGGAGAUGGAAAAGGAUGGGAGGGAUGGAAAAGGUUUGGGAAUAUUGGGGAGGGAUGGGAACAAUGGGAGGGAUGGGGAGGGAUGGAGAAAUGGAAAAGGAUGGAAGGGAUGGGAAUGGAUGGGAGGGAUGGGGACAAUGGGAGGGAUGGGGAGAUGGAAAAGGAUGGGAGGGAUGGGAACAAUGGGAAGGAUGGGGAGAUGGAAAAGGUUUGGGAAUAAUGGGGAGGGAUGGGAACAAUGGGAGGGAUGGGGAGAUGGAAAAGGUUUGGGAAUAUUGGGGAGGGAUGGGAACAAUGGAAGGGAUGGGGAGGGAUGGGGAGAUGGAAAAGGAUGGGAGGGAUGGGGACGGAUGGGAGGGAUGGGAACAAUGGGAAGGAUGGGGAGAUGGAAAAGGAUGGGAGGGAUGGGGACGGAUGGGAGGGAUGGGAACAAUGGGAGGGAAUGGGGGAUGGAAAAAGUUUGGGAAUAAUGGGGAGAGAUGGGGACAGUGGGAGGGAUGGGAACAA